RNAcentral lists this ribosomal RNA (500 nucleotides) under uncultured Desulfobulbus sp. RNAcentral describes it as "bacterial SSU rRNA". It matches the Rfam family "Bacterial small subunit ribosomal RNA", at positions 904 to 1382 of the family's 1533-position model. The record is from RNAcentral. Lineage: Bacteria; Pseudomonadati; Thermodesulfobacteriota; Desulfobulbia; Desulfobulbales; Desulfobulbaceae.
AGCCCGCUCAGAAACUUAAGGAAUUGACGGGGCCCGCACAAGCGGUGGAGUAUGUGGUUUAAUUCGAUGCAACGCGAAGAACCUUACCUGGUCUUGACAUCCCGGAGACCCUUAGGAAACUAGGGGGUGCUUCCAUCUGGAAGAAUCUGGAGACAGGUGCUGCAUGGCUGUCGUCAGCUCGUGUCGUGAGAUGUUGGGUUAAGUCCCGCAACGAGCGCAACCCUUGCCUUUAGUUGCCAGCAGUUCGGCUGGGCACUCUAAAGGGACUGCCGGUGUUAAACCGGAGGAAGGUGGGGAUGACGUCAAGUCCUCAUGGCCUUUAUGACCAGGGCUACACACGUACUACAAUGGCCGAUACAAAGGGCAGCGACACUGCGAGGUGAAGCCAAUCCCGUAAAAUCGGUCUCAGUCCGGAUUGGAGUCUGCAACUCGACUCCAUGAAGUUGGAAUCGCUAGUAAUCGUGGAUCAGCAUGCCACGGUGAAUACGUUCCCGGGCCUU